RNAcentral lists this ribosomal RNA (822 nucleotides) under Salmonella enterica subsp. enterica serovar Cerro. Its description in RNAcentral is "partial 23S ribosomal RNA". It matches the Rfam family "Bacterial large subunit ribosomal RNA", at positions 1084 to 1889 of the family's 2925-position model. The record is from RNAcentral. Lineage: Bacteria; Pseudomonadati; Pseudomonadota; Gammaproteobacteria; Enterobacterales; Enterobacteriaceae.
CCCAGACAGCCAGGAUGUUGGCUUAGAAGCAGCCAUCAUUUAAAGAAAGCGUAAUAGCUCACUGGUCGAGUCGGCCUGCGCGGAAGAUGUAACGGGGCUAAACCAUGCACCGAAGCUGCGGCAGCGACACUAUGUGUUGUUGGGUAGGGGAGCGUUCUGUAAGCCUGUGAAGGUGGCCUGUGAGGGUUGCUGGAGGUAUCAGAAGUGCGAAUGCUGACAUAAGUAACGAUAAAGCGGGUGAAAAGCCCGCUCGCCGGAAGACCAAGGGUUCCUGUCCAACGUUAAUCGGGGCAGGGUGAGUCGACCCCUAAGGCGAGGCCGAAAGGCGUAGUCGAUGGGAAACGGGUUAAUAUUCCCGUACUUGGUGUUACUGCGAAGGGGGGACGGAGAAGGCUAUGUUGGCCGGGCGACGGUUGUCCCGGUUUAAGCGUGUAGGUGUGUGUUCCAGGUAAAUCCGGUUCACUUUAACACUGAGGCGUGAUGACGAGGCACUACGGUGCUGAAGCAACAAAUGCCCUGCUUCCAGGAAAAGCCUCUAAGCAUCAGGUAACAUCAAAUCGUACCCCAAACCGACACAGGUGGUCAGGUAGAGAAUACCAAGGCGCUUGAGAGAACUCGGGUGAAGGAACUAGGCAAAAUGGUGCCGUAACUUCGGGAGAAGGCACGCUGACACGUAGGUGAAGUGAUUUACUCAUGGAGCUGAAGUCAGUCGAAGAUACCAGCUGGCUGCAACUGUUUAUUAAAAACACAGCACUGUGCAAACACGAAAGUGGACGUAUACGGUGUGACGCCUGCCCGGUGCCGGAAGGUUAAUUGAUGGGG